This 254-nucleotide ribosomal RNA is filed under the name uncultured bacterium. Its description in RNAcentral is "partial 16S ribosomal RNA". It matches the Rfam family "Bacterial small subunit ribosomal RNA", at positions 524 to 776 of the family's 1533-position model. The record is from RNAcentral.
UACGUAGGGGGCGAGCGUUGUCCGGAUUCAUUGGGCGUAAAGAGCUCGUAGGCGGCUUGGCAAGUCGGGUGUGAAAACUCCAGGCUCAACCUGGAGACGCCACCCGAUACUGCCAUGGCUUGAGUCCGGUAGGGGACCACGGAAUUCCGGGUGUAGCGGUGGAAUGCGUAGAGAUCCGGAAGAACACCGGUGGCGAAGGCGGUCUGCUGGGCCAAGACUGACGCUGAGGCGCGACAGCGUGGGGAGCAAACAGG